UUUUAAUUAGGAAAAUAGGUAAUUAAGCAAAUAAAUAGUUAAUUAAAGUCUAAUGGUAAGGAAAUUUAUUAAUUUCAUAAAAAGGAAAAAAGAAACUUAUGAAGGUAAACUUAUGAAAGUUUAUAAAAUGAUAAAGUAAACUUAUCUACUCUAUAAAAAUAUAGCUAGUUAAUUAAUGGACUAUACAAUAUAAAUAUAUAUAAAGUAAACUUAUCAGUAAUAGAUAAACAUAUACAGAGUAAUAAAUAAAGGAUACAGGUUGGAUCAGAUGCGGCGUCUCUUGCGAGGUGGUGCGCAGUCGUCCUCAGGGAGAGCGAUGCAGUGGCCCCCCGGCUUGUGGUCCCUGUCCGGUCGAGGCUCCAGCUGUCUGCAGGCAGUUGGGAGGACCCUGGUCUUCAGUAAUGUUUAGUGAGAGAGCGAUCUAGACUGAUGAGAAACUCACCGACAUCUGGGAGGUAAAGCAACUGAGCGAAUCCAUCCGGCCUAAGGAGAGGAAAGGAUGGACAGAGGAACACCAAGGUCUCCACUGUAGCAACUCCGGGUACUGAAAACAACAUCACCUAUUUUUACACACAAUUCCAGUACAUUUAUUCCACAUACUGAAUAUCAGCACUUCUACAUUACUGAACAGAUCCAACAUGUGAUAUUAGUGUAGAAAUGCUGAUUUAUUGAUCCUGUACUGAAAAUGCUGAUUUAUCACUGAAGCUCUAAUCAUUACUGUGGAGGAGAAAAGCUUUCUAUCGCAUUUUUAAUCACAUAAAGAGCUGAGAGUAAAAAAGCUGCACUGUCUCCUCAGUGAUUAAACUCUCCAUCCGGACCACAGUAAGAUCUGCAACGGAUUAGCGGGACUCCAGCGGGUGACUUUAGUAACAGUGCUGAUUUUCUUCAGAAAACGUUUUUUGUCGCUUUUGAAAGCGCAGCGCUGUGUGAACAGGGCUGAACGGACUCCUGUUUCUACUUCACUUCAGUAUUUAAAUACAGGAGCUUCAUGUUUCUUACCCUGAAGAAGAGCACGAAGGUUUGGUCUGGGGAAACGGGGGUAGUAGUCAUCCAGCCAGUCCAGGAAGUCCAGCAGCUCCGCAGCGCCAUCUGAAAAAUACACCGGAAAAGGCAUAGUGAGAAGCACUGACAGAAACGAGAGAAAUUAAUAAGAAAUUAAUAAGAAAUUAAUGAGAAAUUAGUGAGAAAUAUUGAGAAAAGAGUGAGAAUUGGUGAAGUGAGUUGAGGAUAAUCCGCAGAUCAAAAUCGCUCGUGUUCAGCCUUGAACUUCUCAGUCCAAAGUGAGCUUCAAAUAUUCAAAUCUAAACCUUCUAAACCGAGCUGUUGCUUAGUAUCGCGAUUUAACCCAAAACACCAAAGACCAAAAAAAAAACAGUCUAUAUUUAUAU
RNAcentral lists this long non-coding RNA (1388 nucleotides) under Astyanax mexicanus (Mexican tetra). RNAcentral describes it as "lncRNA (ENSAMXG00005002645.1)". The record is from RNAcentral. Lineage: Eukaryota; Metazoa; Chordata; Actinopteri; Characiformes; Acestrorhamphidae.